UUUUGACAUUACGUGUCACAUACAUAAUCUGUGAGUACAUCCUUGAAACACCUUUGAUAUGGAAGAAGUUGAUGUUGGAUCCAUAUCUGCCAAAAUCAUUGUUGGUUUCUUCUUAUGUGAUGCAAAAAGCUUCUAAUAACCAAGAGUAUGAUUCAAUUAUUUUAUCUGAUAUUAGUCUUGCUCUAACAUUGAUUGUCCUUUCAUGGUUGUUAAUAGCAGUGAAAGGAACAAAUAUCAUAUUAUACCUGAAAAUAUUUAUAAAUAUAUCAAUAAUGUAAUGUAAUAAGUAUAUUUUUACAUGUUUGUUCUAUAUGUUGCAUCCAUUGAAAUAACAUCUAAAAACUUAGAGUAGUUUUCUUUUCCUGUUUCAUCAACCCAAAACAUAGCACUUAGUUCCUCAUCAUUCAACUUAUAUUCAAAAUGGAAAUUUUGAUAAUUAUCUCUACAAAUAAUCAACUGGUCUACAACACAUUAAGCAUCAUUUGGUCCAACAGUAUUGGUAUAAUCUCUCCAAAAAAUUUUGAAAUCAUUCUUUGUUGCUGGCAAAUUAUCAUAUCCUCCUUUUAAUGAUGCCCGUAUCUUAUGUGCUUUAGUGGCACCAAUGUUGAUAGUUGAAGCUUUAACAAUAAGUUCCUGAUCAGAAAUACUAAGUCGAUGAUUAGGAGAACAGAUGCUUUCUUCAUUAAAUUCAGUAAGUGGAUGGUUGUGUGCUUCUUCAAAUGCAUAUACAGUGAUAGUAUUUGUUGCAUAAUUUAUGUCAAAACCAAUCAUAGUCAUACAUCCUGUGACUUUAGAAUAUGAUUUUCUUUCUUGUUUUUUUCAGUUUUUUGGAUGUAAGAGUAUCAAUGGAUUUUUUCCUUGGUUGUCCAUAUCUGUUGCAUCUUACAUGUUUUUUUCUUAGACUGAAGUCACCAUAUGAUGUUGUUCCUAAUCUAAUUCCAAAACCAACAACUUUUGCAUAAUUUUUAUACAUUUCAAUUCUUUCAUCUACACUUGACACAGUUUGUCCUUUUUUAGGAAUCAAAUCUGUUGGAACAUUUGAAAUAUACAAAUCUUCUUGAUUUAUGUAAGAUGUUCCUGUCAAAUAUUCAAAAAGUUUAAUAUUGAAGUAAGUGUAUAUAUAAAUAUAUCUAUUUAAUAUAAAGUAUUAAAACCUACCUUUAUGAUUUUCCUUUAUUGUUGAACUUGAAGUUCCACUUGAAGAUUGAAUGAAAGAUUCAGUUGCUUCAUUAAAAGAAAUAUUAGUAAUUUAAAAUAUAACGUAGUAAUCUAUUUCAAAUGUAAAUAUUGAAUUUUAACAUUAGAAAAUUAGUAAUUAUAAUCAUUGAAAAAUUGCAUUUAUCACCAUCGUUUAAUGUUGAUUCUAAAGAUCCAAUAGUUAAAUCAUUGAAAGAUUCAUUUUCUUCAUGAUUUAAAUCAGAAGAACAAAUAUGUUCAAAUCCUUUAGUAGAUGAUUUCGUCGAUCAUUAAGAGAAUGAAGAAGUUAAUGUUAAUUUAAUACUACAAUUUAUGUUUACGAUUAUUAAUAUGAAGAAGUGAUUCAAUUCCGUUUAUAUGUGAAUUACUUUAUUCAGUUGAUUUAAUACUACAGUUUAUGUUUACGGUUAUUAAUAGUGGUGUGUAUUUUGUUAGAAUGAAAAGGGUUAAGUUGGGGAUUCUUUUUCAUAUCAAAAUGCAAACACGUGUUUAUUCUAUAAGAAUAUAAAUAUUACAUAACACAUGUAUUGCUAGUAAUUCUGACAGAAUACAUUUAUACAUGUUGUAGAAUGUUUACGCAUAUAAAAGAAAAGACUAUGAUUUAAGUGCAUUAUGUAAUGUACUCUCUUAGAAUUUAUUUAUAUAAAUGCAUUCUGUUAGAAUUUAUAGUUUUAUUCUCUUAGAAUGCAUUGAAUUUUUAAUACAUUAUGUCAAAAUUUAUAGUUUUAUUCUCUUAGAAUGCACUGAAUUUUUUAGUUUUUGAAACUUGAUUAUGUUUUCUUUGUGGAUUUAGGUUUUGAAAAGGCUAACAUUGAUGUUGAGAAGAAAAAAAACAUAAAGAACUAAAGUGUAUUAUACCAGAAUAUGUUAUGUUACAAUGUAUAAAGUAUUGCUUAAAAAUAAUAUUUUCUCAGAAUAGAUUAAUAUUCUCUCAAAAAUAAUAUCACAAUCAUACAAUGUAAUUAUUUGGUAUAUUAUUAGUUCAAGAAUUGAUUUUGUGUAGUCUUUUCAGAAUGAAUUUUACUAGUUUAUGGUUAGCAUUCUGUCAUUCUGACAGAAUAAAAUCGAAAAAUAUAUUUAUUGGUUUAUGGUUAACAUUCUAUCAUUCUGACAUAAUAAAAUCGGAUUUUUAAUUUUGAAUUAACUUAAAAUAUUUAGAUUUUAAAAAAUAAAGGAAUUAAUUAUCCCUAAAAUUUCAAAAAUUUAUUUUUUAAUAUAGGUUAAUUGACUAAAAUGCCCUUAUGCUGAAAUUUGUGUGAUUAUAUGGUACAUGUUAUCAUAUUCUACUACCCUCAAAUCAUGACCUUUGAUUAUAUUCCAUCCAAUGGUCCAGAUCUGUUCAUUCUGACACAUAAUAGUUACUAAAAACAAAAUAACCUAACCCUAUAUAUAUAUAUAUAUAUNNNNNNNNNNNNNNNNNNNNNNNNNNNNUGUGUGUGUAUAAAGAUACUUAAGAUCAAUCACCAAUUUCAAAAGAAAAAUGUUCCAAAACAAAACAAGAUAAAGGUAUGAAUAAACAUUUCCAUUCACAUAUGAUUAGCUUUUGAUUAGGGAUGGCAAUGGGUACGGGUAUAUCGGGUUUCAUGUUCCCCAUCCUCAUCCCCGAAUCCCCAUACCCGACCCCAUCCCCAUCGGGGAUUAAAAAUCUAUCCUCAUCCCCAUCCCCAAUGGGUAUCGGGGAUCCCCAAUGGGUAAUCGGGGAUUUUUCCCCGUUAUNCACUUUAACCCUCGAAAGUCUAAAUUAUAUCAUUUGGCUCCCCGAAACCACUCUUCGCUAAAUAUUAUUGGUUUUAGGGCCAUUAUAAAUUAAUAUCAAUUAUAAAUUUACCUUUUGGGGUUAUUAUUUAAUUACUCUAUUUCAAACAGGAUGUUACAAAAAGUCUUCCCAAAACUAUACGUUUGAUUGUUAAAAAUUAUAUAUCGGGUACCCAUUGGGGCCGAUUUCGGGUACGGGUAUGGGUACCCGACAGGUAAAACCAUCCUCAUCCCCAUCCCCGAUUUUUAUAUUCGGGUAAUACCCAUCCACGUCCCCAUCCCCGGUCAACUCGGGUUAGGGUUUCGGGUACCCAUUGGGUACGGGUUUUUUUGCCAUCUCUACUUUUGAUAUGUUUUGUUUAGUAGUAAAUACAAACAAAACUAAACCAUAUAUAUUUAUUCAGAUAUGAAUAUAAGAAUUUAAUAGUUUUUUCAAUAUCAAACAUAUCCAGAUUGAAGUAUUCAUAUGUUAAUAGAACAAAAUUAUAACAAAGAUAUACAAGUUAUUCAUAAAUGAAUAUAACAAAUAUGAUAGGAGUUUUAUACCUUUGUCAUUUUUCUGCAUGGAACGUGUUUCUCUCAUUGUUGGUUGGUCUUUAUCAGAAAUAUCAAUCUUCUUACCUUCAUUCAUUAAUUAAUAGAAACUAAAUGAAUUUGAUAUAUAUUUUACAAAAAAAUUAUUUUAUAUUCAUAAAUUAAUAAAUAAAUAGAACAUAUGUAUUCAUAUCUUCUAUUCACAUAUGAAUAUAUAUGUUAUCUUCGUAUGUAAAUAGAACAUAUAUAACUCGGUUUUGUUAUAUUCAUAUUUGAAUAAUGUCUAUAUCCCACCAAAUUAUGUUCUAUUCAUAUGUGAAUAGAACAUAUAUAACUUAAUUUUUUUUGUGUUUUCCUUAUUAUCUUGGGUAAUUGGAUAUGUGAUCCUAGACAUAUUUUAUUGCAUACUAGUGAAACGUAUGUUAUGUGUUGUUGUUUCUUUAUUAUUUUGGGUGCUUGGGUGUGUGAUCACUAGACAUAUUAUAUUGCUUAAUGAAUUUUUCUAUUCUUAUUUGAAUAAUGUAUAUCACACAAAAUUAUAUUCUAUUUAUAUGUGAAUACAACAUAUAUAACUUAGUUUUGUUUUUGUUCAGAAGUAAACAAAACAUAUCACAACAAAAUUAUCUUCAGUAUCUUCACUUUCUGAUGUAUUUUAAGUAAAACCGCAUCUAAAUGUUGACCACAUAUGAAUAAGUUAAUCAAAUCUAAAUAGAAUAUCAAUUUUAUUUAUCUUUUCCAUUCGUUUUUGUUUUUNNNNNNNUAUAACUACAUAUAUAAAACUCCACAUUUCAACAAGCACAAUCAGAUUCAUUUAAUCAAAACAUCUCAAUCUUUCAAACAAAACAUUAUGUUUUCGCCUAGCUAAAACCCCAAUAACAUCAAAACCUUGUUCCCGGAUAUCAACUAUCACUCAAUCAAUCUUAUUUAUUCACCUGCAAAUUACCAUAUUUUUGUCCAUUGCUCUACAUUUGUAUCAAUUUUUCCUCAUCGAUACUCUUCUCAAUCGCAAUUCAUGUGAUACCCCAAUCCAGUUUGCAAUCCCAAACCUACUUCCAAUUACAAUCCCAACCUGUUCUCAAGUUAAAGUCUUUUGAGUCGGUUCACAAAAUCCAACUCGAAAACUGUUCAAGGAUUUUGGAGUUAUGUCAAAAGCAAGCAAAACUUUCUAGUUAACUCUUAGGAAAUUUCAUGCCACAAAUCAGACAAUUCAUAUGGAUAAUAACAUCUAGCCCGAUAUGGAUAUCAAAAGAUUUGACUAUGACUUCCCUAGAAAGUUUUGCUUUUUUUACAAACAGAAAAUUAUUAAAAAAAAUAGAAUCAAGGUUCAAAAACCAACUCAAAAGGUUUAAAUCUAUGAUAAGUUCAAGUUAGGGAUGGAAAUUCGUUUUGGGUUAGAAUUGGAAAUAGGAUAGGGAUUAGAAAUUUACUUCGGGGUAUUUGCACAAAUAAUGAUUCAGAAGGGUAUUGAUUUGGAAAUUGACUUAAAUAUGAAAUCAUAGCCAAAAAAUGGUAACUUGCGGGUGAUUUUGUAGGAUGAUUUAAUGAAAUCACAUUAUUGGUGUUUGAAGAUUUUUUCUUGUUUCAAAUCGAGGUUUUUAUUUGGUUAGCUAAAAACAUGUUGUGUUUGAAAGAUUAAAAGAUGUUUUAAAUGAAAAAAUAAAAUUGUUUGGUGAAAUAUCGAAUUUAGUAUGUGUAUUUUGACCUAACCGGAUCAAAUCAGAUUCAAAACCGGUUACACAAUUCAAAACCGAUCCAAUCCGAAACCGGUUUCACUAUUCAAAACCAGAUUGGGUCAAAACCAGUUUUGAUCAAACCGGAUCGGAUUCAAAACCGGAUUUUCAAUCGGAUCCUAAUCCUACAUUUCAAAUCGGAUUUGAUACCGGAUCACAAACCGGAUCCAAAUCUGCCCAAAAUCCGCUUAAAACCCACUAAAAUUGGUUUAAACCGGAUUAGAAUCGGAUUCAAAUUUUGACCGGAUCCGGAUCGGAUUUUGACCGGAUUCGGAUCAGAUUUUGACCGGAACGGAUUCUUGGUGACGUAAACGAAACCGGAUCGGAUUCGGAUUCGGGUUUUGUGCAUCUCUAAAUUGGUUGAUAUUGUGAGAUGCCUCCAGCCUUAUAGAAUACAAGGAUAGAGCUUCUGGUUUCAAUGAAUGAUAAAGUGGAUAACAAAAUCGAGCAAUGUGGAUGCAAUGAAAAUCAAAAGCCAAUAAAUAUUCAAAUGCAAAAAUUUAGGUUACCAAAAUAUUUGGCAACGUAAAUGUAGAAGAAAACGCAUCUAAGAAAUACUUUCCCCAUUGUUUUCUUCACUAUGAAUCAAAUUGCAAAGAUGACAGUCUGAUUAUCAUCAUCGAUGCUAAUUCCAAUCCCACAAACAUCUAAAACCUAAAACGUUCAGAUAUAAAAGCAAUUUAAUGAAACCAGGAUAUAGAAGAAUCGUGAAUACAACUCGUAUAAAAAAACAAAAUGGAUCUAAGGAAAAUCAACUAAUCAUUACGUAGAGGGAAAUAAAAUACGUGAUAGAUAUUAUAUAAAUAAAGGAUCUCAGGAAGUUUAAACUAUCAUCAAAUCCGAUUAAGGAAUUUACAGAUAGAUAACGCAGUUUCUUCAUAAGCAUCAUCGAUCCAGCACUUGAAUAAUUAAUCAACAUAACAUUUAAAAAAUUUGUAACAAAAUAAAAGGCAAGUAAAGAAAACAGGACAGAUUGAGAUCAACAUUAGUAGCAUACGAUCGACUUAAGAACGGAUCCUGAUGAUUUCCUGAUGAUUUUUUUAUGAUAGAUUUAAAACGCAAGUUGUAUACUUAUAACGGCAGCAACAUCACCAUCAUACAGGGACUAAGAACCCUAAUGGAAAAACAUCGCAUUUACAGGGCCAUAAAGGCCAAGAAUGGGCCACACGUCUUCUUCUAAAUUCUAAACUCUAAAGUCAUCCAAAAACAGAUCGGUUUUAAUAAACAAGUAACAGCAUCUCAGAAAUACUUUCCCCGUUGUUUUCUUCAUUAUGAAUCAAAGUGCAAGGAUGACGAAGUCUGAUUAUCAUCAUCGAUGCUAAUUCCAAUCCCACAUAAACAUCUAUAAACUAAAUUGUUCAGAUAUAAAAACAAUUUAAUGAAACCAGGAUAUAGAAGAAUCGUGAAUGCAACUCGUAUAAAAACACAAAAUGGAUCUAAGGAUAUUCAAUUAAUCAUUACGUAGAGGGAAAUAAAAUACGGGAGAUAUUAUAUAAAUGAAGGAUCUCAGGAAGUUUAAACUAUCAUCAGAUCCGAUUAAGGAAUUUACAGAUAGAUAACGCAGUUUCUUCAUAAGCAUCAUCGAUCCAACACUUGAAUAUUUAAUCCACAUAACAUUUAAUAAAUUUGUAAUAAAACGAAAGACAAGUAAAGAAAACAUGACAGAUUAAGAUCAACAUCAAGUAGCAUACGAUCAGCACCACCAUUAUAUGGGGACUAUGAACCCUAAUGGAAAAACAAUGCAUUUACAGGCUGUAACGGGACAGAAUGGGCCGCGCGUCUUCUUCUCCUAAAUUCUAAACUCUAAAGGCAUCCAAAAACAGAUCAGUUUUAAUAAACAAGUAAAUAAAUUGAUAUAUAUUUGGCAACGUAAAUGUAGAAGAAGAAAAAGCAUCUCUGAAAUACUUUCCCCGUUGUUUUCUUCAUUAUAAAUCAAAGUGCAAGGAUGACGAAGUCUGAUUAUCAUCAUUGAUGCUAAUUCCAAUCCCACAUAAACAUCUAAAAACUAAAUUUGUCAGAUAUAAAAGCAAUUUAAUCAAACCACGAUAUAGAAGAAUCGUGAAUACAACUCGUAUAAAAACACAAAAUGGGUCCGAGGAAAAUCAACUAAUCAUUACAUAGAGGGAAAUAAAAUACGUGAUACAUAUUAUAAAAAUGAAGGAUUUCAGGAAAUUUAAACUAUCAUCAGAUCCGAUUAAGGAAUUUGCAGAUAGAUAACGCAGUUUCUUAUUAAGCAUAACCCAGUUUCUUAUUAAGCAUAACGCAGUUUCUUAUUAAGCAUCAUCGAUCCAGCGCUUGGAAAAUUUUAUCAACAUAACAUUUAAAAAAUUUGUAACAAAACAAAAAACAAGUAAAGAAAACAGGAUAGAUUGAGAUCAACAUCAAGUAGCAUACGAUCGACUUAAGAACGGAUCCUGAUGAUUUUUUUUUGAUAGAUUUAAAACGCAAGUUGUAUACUUAUUUGAGCACCAACAUCACCAUUAUACGGGGACUAUGAACCUUAAUGGAAAAGACCAAAACCAUGAACCCUAAUGGAAAAGACCAGAAUGGGCCGCCCUUCUUCUUCUAAAUUCUAAACUCUAAAGUCAUCCAAAAACAGAUCGGUUUUAAUAAUAAUAAUAAUAAUAACUAGAAAAAAUCCGUCGCGCCGUUGGCGCAGGGUCGAAAAAAUAGUCUAAAUGGCAAUGUACUUUUCUUGAUUUUUUUGCAUUCACCUUCAAAAUAGAUCAGACAAUUUAAAUUUUUUUUGAACUUUCUGGAUUGGUUCCAAACUAAAUCAGAAUAUUCUAAUAAAACAAACUUAAUUUACAAUUUCAGUAAAAUGUAGACGAAAAAUCAUUUUUUUAAUGUCAAAAGAAUCCGCUAGAAACCAAACCUGUUUCAUAUAAUAAUUCCACAACCUUCUUCGCCUCAGUCACUUCUUUCUGCUGCGGUUUUACAUGCAGCCUGCAAGCAACAUUAACACACACAUAUGGAGACGAGAGGGAUACCCGCGGCGAGCAGGGAAGGGAUGGCGAGACAACAGAAGCAGCAGCGAUGGAAGAGAACGCAAGCAACUGAACUGAGGCGUUGUGUGUAGAUGGAGGCGAUAUUUAACGUUAGGGCAAGGGGUAUAUUGGUCAAUUUCUUUAAAGGGAG
This 8354-nucleotide long non-coding RNA is filed under the name Lactuca sativa (garden lettuce). RNAcentral describes it as "long non-coding RNA (LSAT_LNC000158)". The record is from RNAcentral. Lineage: Eukaryota; Viridiplantae; Streptophyta; Magnoliopsida; Asterales; Asteraceae.